This 2527-nucleotide ribosomal RNA is filed under the name Escherichia coli. RNAcentral describes it as "partial 23S ribosomal RNA". It matches the Rfam family "Bacterial large subunit ribosomal RNA", at positions 418 to 2925 of the family's 2925-position model. Lineage: Bacteria; Pseudomonadati; Pseudomonadota; Gammaproteobacteria; Enterobacterales; Enterobacteriaceae. RNAcentral also lists the same sequence under 1 other name. The record is from RNAcentral.
CGGGACACGUGGUAUCCUGUCUGAAUAUGGGGGGACCAUCCUCCAAGGCUAAAUACUCCUGACUGACCGAUAGUGAACCAGUACCGUGAGGGAAAGGCGAAAAGAACCCCGGCGAGGGGAGUGAAAAAGAACCUGAAACCGUGUACGUACAAGCAGUGGGAGCACGCUUAGGCGUGUGACUGCGUACCUUUUGUAUAAUGGGUCAGCGACUUAUAUUCUGUAGCAAGGUUAACCGAAUAGGGGAGCCGAAGGGAAACCGAGUCUUAACUGGGCGUUAAGUUGCAGGGUAUAGACCCGAAACCCGGUGAUCUAGCCAUGGGCAGGUUGAAGGUUGGGUAACACUAACUGGAGGACCGAACCGACUAAUGUUGAAAAAUUAGCGGAUGACUUGUGGCUGGGGGUGAAAGGCCAAUCAAACCGGGAGAUAGCUGGUUCUCCCCGAAAGCUAUUUAGGUAGCGCCUCGUGAAUUCAUCUCCGGGGGUAGAGCACUGUUUCGGCAAGGGGGUCAUCCCGACUUACCAACCCGAUGCAAACUGCGAAUACCGGAGAAUGUUAUCACGGGAGACACACGGCGGGUGCUAACGUCCGUCGUGAAGAGGGAAACAACCCAGACCGCCAGCUAAGGUCCCAAAGUCAUGGUUAAGUGGGAAACGAUGUGGGAAGGCCCAGACAGCCAGGAUGUUGGCUUAGAAGCAGCCAUCAUUUAAAGAAAGCGUAAUAGCUCACUGGUCGAGUCGGCCUGCGCGGAAGAUGUAACGGGGCUAAACCAUGCACCGAAGCUGCGGCAGCGACGCUGAUGCGUUGUUGGGUAGGGGAGCGUUCUGUAAGCCUGUGAAGGUGUGCUGUGAGGCAUGCUGGAGGUAUCAGAAGUGCGAAUGCUGACAUAAGUAACGAUAAAGCGGGUGAAAAGCCCGCUCGCCGGAAGACCAAGGGUUCCUGUCCAACGUUAAUCGGGGCAGGGUGAGUCGACCCCUAAGGCGAGGCCGAAAGGCGUAGUCGAUGGGAAACAGGUUAAUAUUCCUGUACUUGGUGUUACUGCGAAGGGGGGACGGAGAAGGCUAUGUUGGCCGGGCGACGGUUGUCCCGGUUUAAGCGUGUAGGCUGGUUUUCCAGGCAAAUCCGGAAAAUCAAGGCUGAGGCGUGAUGACGAGGCACUACGGUGCUGAAGCAACAAAUGCCCUGCUUCCAGGAAAAGCCUCUAAGCAUCAGGUAACAUCAAAUCGUACCCCAAACCGACACAGGUGGUCAGGUAGAGAAUACCAAGGCGCUUGAGAGAACUCGGGUGAAGGAACUAGGCAAAAUGGUGCCGUAACUUCGGGAGAAGGCACGCUGAUAUGUAGGUGAAGCGACUUGCUCGUGGAGCUGAAAUCAGUCGAAGAUACCAGCUGGCUGCAACUGUUUAUUAAAAACACAGCACUGUGCAAACACGAAAGUGGACGUAUACGGUGUGACGCCUGCCCGGUGCCGGAAGGUUAAUUGAUGGGGUCAGCGCAAGCGAAGCUCUUGAUCGAAGCCCCGGUAAACGGCGGCCGUAACUAUAACGGUCCUAAGGUAGCGAAAUUCCUUGUCGGGUAAGUUCCGACCUGCACGAAUGGCGUAAUGAUGGCCAGGCUGUCUCCACCCGAGACUCAGUGAAAUUGAACUCGCUGUGAAGAUGCAGUGUACCCGCGGCAAGACGGAAAGACCCCGUGAACCUUUACUAUAGCUUGACACUGAACAUUGAGCCUUGAUGUGUAGGAUAGGUGGGAGGCUUUGAAGUGUGGACGCCAGUCUGCAUGGAGCCGGCCUUGAAAUACCACCCUUUAAUGUUUGAUGUUCUAACGUUGACCCGUGAUCCGGGUUGCGGACAGUGUCUGGUGGGUAGUUUGACUGGGGCGGUCUCCUCCUAAAGAGUAACGGAGGAGCACGAAGGUUGGCUAAUCCUGGUCGGACAUCAGGAGGUUAGUGCAAUGGCAUAAGCCAGCUUGACUGCGAGCGUGACGGCGCGAGCAGGUGCGAAAGCAGGUCAUAGUGAUCCGGUGGUUCUGAAUGGAAGGGCCAUCGCUCAACGGAUAAAAGGUACUCCGGGGAUAACAGGCUGAUACCGCCCAAGAGUUCAUAUCGACGGCGGUGUUUGGCACCUCGAUGUCGGCUCAUCACAUCCUGGGGCUGAAGUAGGUCCCAAGGGUAUGGCUGUUCGCCAUUUAAAGUGGUACGCGAGCUGGGUUUAGAACGUCGUGAGACAGUUCGGUCCCUAUCUGCCGUGGGCGCUGGAGAACUGAGGGGGGCUGCUCCUAGUACGAGAGGACCGGAGUGGACGCAUCACUGGUGUUCGGGUUGUCAUGCCAAUGGCACUGCCCGGUAGCUAAAUGCGGAAGAGAUAAGUGCUGAAAGCAUCUAAGCACGAAACUUGCCCCGAGAUGAGUUCUCCCUGACUCCUUGAGAGUCCUGAAGGAACGUUGAAGACGACGACGUUGAUAGGCCGGGUGUGUAAGCGCAGCGAUGCGUUGAGCUAACCGGUACUAAUGAACCGUGAGGCUUAACCUU